Molecule: non-coding RNA, 21 nt
Filed under: Arabidopsis thaliana (thale cress)
Lineage: Eukaryota; Viridiplantae; Streptophyta; Magnoliopsida; Brassicales; Brassicaceae
Source: RNAcentral
AGUGGUGUGAUGGAGAUACUC